CGCCGCGUGGAGGAUGACGGCCUUCGGUUGUAACUCCUUUCUGUGGGAAGAGCAGAAGACGGUACCACAGGAAGAAGUCUCGGCUAACUACGUGC
RNAcentral lists this ribosomal RNA (95 nucleotides) under uncultured bacterium. RNAcentral's name for it is "partial 16S ribosomal RNA". The record is from RNAcentral.